AUUGAACGCUGGCGGCAUGCCUUACACAUGCAAGUCGAACGGCAGCACGGGUGCUUGCACCUGGUGGCGAGUGGCGAACGGGUGAGUAAUACAUCGGAACACGUCCUGUAGUGGGGGAUAGCCCGGCGAAAGCCGGAUUAAUACCGCAUACGAUCUACGGAUGAAAGCGGGGGACCUUCGGGCCUUGCGCGUGAGGGUUGGCCGAUGGCUGAUUAGCUAGUUGGGGGGGUAAAGGCCUACCAAGGCGACGAUCAGUAGCUGGUCUGAGAGGACGACAAGCCACACUGGGACUGAGACACGGCCCAGACUCCUACGGGAGGCAGCAGUGGGGAAUUUUGGACAAUGGGCGAAAGCCUGAUCCAGCAAUGCCGCGUGUGUGAAGAAGGCCUUCGGGUUGUAAAGCACUUUUGUCCGGAAAGAAAUCCUUGGCCCUAAUACGGUCGGGGGAUGACGGUACCGGAAGAAUAAGCACCGGCUAACUACGUG
RNAcentral lists this ribosomal RNA (486 nucleotides) under uncultured bacterium. Its description in RNAcentral is "partial 16S ribosomal RNA". It matches the Rfam family "Bacterial small subunit ribosomal RNA", at positions 29 to 507 of the family's 1533-position model. The record is from RNAcentral.